RNAcentral lists this ribosomal RNA (504 nucleotides) under uncultured Verrucomicrobiae bacterium. RNAcentral's name for it is "bacterial SSU rRNA". It matches the Rfam family "Bacterial small subunit ribosomal RNA", at positions 10 to 521 of the family's 1533-position model. The record is from RNAcentral. Lineage: Bacteria; Pseudomonadati; Verrucomicrobiota; Verrucomicrobiia.
GAUUUGAUCCUGGCUCAGAACGAACGCUGGCGGCGUGUUUAAGACAUGCAAGUCGAACGGAUCAAAGUUGUAGCAAUACCGCUUUGGUCAGUGGCGCACGGGUGCGUAACACGUGAGUUACAUGCCCUGCAGUGGGGAAUAGCCCGCCGAAAGGCGGAUUAAUACCCCAUGGUCCCGCAAGGGUAAAGGUGGCGCAAGCUGCCGCUGCAGGAUUGGCUCGCGGCCUAUCAGCUAGUUGGCGAGGUAACGGCUCACCAAGGCGACGACGGGUACCUGGUCUGAGAGGAUGAUCAGGCACACUGGAACUGAGACACGGUCCAGACUCCUACGGGAGGCAGCAGUGAGGAAUUUUGCACAAUGGAGGAAACUCUGAUGCAGCGACGCCGCGUGCGGGAUGAAGGGGCUUUGCCUUGUAAACCGCUGUCGGGUGGGAAAAAAGUUCCUCGGGGACUGGGAUUGUACCACCAAAGGAGGACCGGCUAACUACGUGCCAGCAGCCGCAGU